GACGAACGCUGGCGGCGUGCUUAACACAUGCAAGUCGAACGGAAAGGCCCUGCUUUUGUGGGGUGCUCGAGUGGCGAACGGGUGAGUAACACGUGAGUAACCUGCCCUUGACUUUGGGAUAACUUCAGGAAACUGGGGCUAAUACCGUAUAGGAGCUCCUGCUGCAUGGUGGGGGUUGGAAAGUUUCGGCGGUUGGGGAUGGACACGCGGCUUAUCAGAUAGUUGGUGGGGUAGUGGCAUAACAAGGCUUUGACGGGUAGCCGGCCUGAGAGGGUGACCGGACACAAUGGAACAGAGAUACGGCCCAGACUCCUACGGGAGGCAGCAGUGGAGAAUAUUGCACAAUGGGCGGAAGCCUGAUGCAGCAAAGCCGCGUGGGAGAUGACGGCCUUCGGGUUGUAAACCGCUGUCGCCUGUGACGAAGCGUUAAUGACGGUAAUGGGUAAAGAAGCACCGGCUAACUACGUG
RNAcentral lists this ribosomal RNA (468 nucleotides) under uncultured bacterium. Its description in RNAcentral is "partial 16S ribosomal RNA". It matches the Rfam family "Bacterial small subunit ribosomal RNA", at positions 28 to 507 of the family's 1533-position model. The record is from RNAcentral.